UACGAGAGGCCCAAACGUUAUUCGGAAUUACUGGGCUUAAAGAGUUCGUAGGCGGCGCAGAAAGUAGGGUGUGAAAGCCCUCGGCUCAACCGAGGAAUUGCGCCCUAAACUACUGUGCUUGAGGAACCUAGAGGUGAGCGGAACUGAUGGUGGAGCGGUGAAAUGCGUUGAUAUCAUCAGGAACACCGGAGGCGAAGGCGGCUCACUGGGGGUUAU
RNAcentral lists this ribosomal RNA (216 nucleotides) under uncultured bacterium. RNAcentral's name for it is "partial 16S ribosomal RNA". It matches the Rfam family "Bacterial small subunit ribosomal RNA", at positions 524 to 739 of the family's 1533-position model. The record is from RNAcentral.